Molecule: ribosomal RNA, 119 nt
Filed under: Pteropus alecto (black flying fox)
Lineage: Eukaryota; Metazoa; Chordata; Mammalia; Chiroptera; Pteropodidae
Source: RNAcentral
GUCUAUGGCCAUACCAUCCUGAAUAAGCUCGAUCCCAUCUGAUCUCGGAAGCUAAGCAGCUUUGGGCCUGGUUUGUGCUUGCAUGGGAGACCACCUAGGAAGAUCAGGUGCUGUACAUG